ACACAUUCCUGUGCAAUCUGCUCUGGGUGAACCUGCCUUAGCAGGUGGGUUGGACUAGAUGAUCUCCAGAGGUCCCUUCCAAUCCCAACCAUUCUGUGAUUCUGUGAAAAGAAGAAUAUCUUGUAGGAUCUACCACAUAAGCUCCAGUUCCUCCAGUUUCCCCAAAAGAAGUUAACUUUUGAGGGUGUUCCUGGCAGGAGGGUGACAUCUCCCAGCAGCACCCACUGCUGCCAGGCUCCUAUUCCAGGGGAAGAAAAAUUUCCUUGAGAAAGCUGCCAUGAAGUGCCAGAAAAUUUGCCAGACCUUUUACAAGACGCACAUGAACUACAAAGGUCCUGGAAGGAGUUGCAGUGCUAAGAACAGUGAAAUGGAUUUUACUUUGUAAGAGAUCACAGAAAACUAAAGAAGGUACACAGGAGAAUCAGAAAUCUCUGAACCUUAACAUGGAAUCAAAAGCAAAGGCUGACUGGGAUCACAGAAGUGUUACUCAGCUCACCCAAUAGAGUGUAGCCCACGUUAGACUACUCAACUUCCUUCCUACAAUUUGCUGCACUUACCUGUUGUGUUUUACUCUGGAAGCAACUCAAAGAGCGGAAACAACAUUAUGAAAAAGGUGAGGCAGCCAAUAACAAAACAUAAAAGCAAAAGGCCUGCUCUGAGCAAACACAGCUCACCUUCCCAAAGUGAGAACUGCAGCCAGAGAGAACAUCCUGCUCAGCACCUCUCAGUCUCAGGCCAACAGAAAGCAAAGGUCAAACAACUGAGGCAAAUCCAAGGCAGCCAAAAUUAAGGGCAUCCUUUAUAUAUUAAUGUGGAACAGGUGAGUGCUGCCAUAGACAUUGAUGCAGCUACUUAGAUGCAAACAACCUGUAGAAAUAUUUGCAUAACCUAUUCAGUUCUGUGAAAUGAGUCAUGAUUUGUAUCAUAUGUGAGCAAAUAACUCACAAAUAGAGAUUUAUAAGCAAACUGCUUCCUAGAAAUCACCCACUCAAGUCUGAGGCACAUUUAACCAGGACCAGACCAGCGGUUCCUUUCACCAAGCUCCUGUGCCUCCAGCUUUGAUAUUUGUGCAGUCUAACAAAAUUCCUGAAUGUACAUAACUUGUGGUGAAUCAAUCUGGCUACGACAGGAAAACAAACUAUUUACACCAAGAGUUUUGUGUGCACCACAACUAACCCCUCAGUUUGCCAUUACUUAGCUGUCUUAAAUAUAAUAAAUGCACUGCUAUCUUUGUUUACUCUUUGCUUUUAAACAAACAAAAAACUAAGAGGGGUAGUAUUAAAAACAGUAAUGUGAGGAAAUUCAAAGAUACUUUUUCACAUCAUGCGCAAGCCAAGGCACACUCCAUAUAUACACAUGCAGAUUAUAUGAAGACAUACUUUACAUCACAUGAAAACUAACUUGUGUUUGAAAGAGUAAAAGACUAAAAGAACCAUCUAGAGCCGGCUUUGUUGAUACAUGGGAUGUUUUCUACGCUUGCCAAAUUUGCUGCCAAUGAUUUAGUCUUUUUAACAACAUUUACUGUUCCUAACCUACUUUACUGUUUGCUGUGCCUUUCCACCACCUCCCUACUCCUGGUGAAGGAAUCUCCUGGGCAGUGAUCGCUCUGGUUUCUUCUCUGCUCCUCAGCAGCCGUGUAACAGAGAGUGCUGAGAGAAGCUGCAUUGCAAAGAGGUAUCUAAUUAUUUGGGUUAAACUUUACCAGGCACAUUAAUGAAGUGGUGGAAAAGAAGAUGAUAGUAAAUGGAAUUAAAAUUUAUCUUACAAACCACAGCCCUCUGUACAAAGAAAAUAGCAUGCCAGGAGUCAAAAGAGUUAGGAUGCAAGUUCCCCUUGUCUCAAUACUCGCAGGCAAUCACUCACCUUUUUAUGGAGAACAAUGACCUUUUUUGAUACAAUGGUGACCCAGCUUAGACGAGUAAAUGGAAAAAAGCAUGAAAAAAAAGAGGACUUUUUAUUAUUCCUUGCAAUCAAAAUGUAAAAAUUUCAAUGAUCUAAAAAAGCACCUCUUCAUUAAAGAGUUGAUGAAAGUGUAGGUCACUCCUAUUAUCCUUUUAAAUUAAUAAAAAAAUCCUGAUCUUUUAAAAUUCAGAAGAAUAAUGUAUAUUUAAAAUAUUCUGUAAUUACUACAAAAGUAUUAAUUAACAGUUCAUGGAUGCAUAAGUAGUGAGAUAAAGGAAUAAGCCAUCUACUCACUAUAAAUAUAAGCUUAAAAAAAUCAUUUUAUAGCAUUUUUGUAGCUGUAUGAUGUUAGGCAGGUCAUAACACUAGUACUUUCCUCUGAAAACCUAAUAAUUAUUAACCUUUUUAAUUUUUAAGCUGAAUAUUGACUUUGCUAUAAAUUGGAAUAAGUUCAAUCUUACAGUCAAUUCCAAACAUGAAAGAGUUUCUCUUCCAGCCACACUGACCACUAGCACCAAUUUACAGAUAUUUUCUUAGGCUUGACUCAAAGAGAAGUCUGAAUUAUCUUACUGCAAAUCAUUUUAAGUAACAGCACAAUAAUUCUUAUGUAAAGCACAGAAUUCUAGAUACAUAAAAUCACUAUUUUUCUCUACCAAACUAUAAAAGUUAUUCCAAACUGCAUGAGAAACACAACACAAUUUUCCUUCCACAAUAAGGCCCACAGGCAGAGAGGAAAAGUAUAGCAUGCGAUUCUAUUAAAUUUAGCCCUUCAGAAAAUGUGGUGGGUUUGCUUCUAUACUUUAAUCCCGCUUUUGUUAAAUGACAUUUUUUACAUUAAAAGAAAAAAAAAAGCUUUUGAGUUAGAUUUGAUCACUAGUACUUUUGUAUGCCAUCCUUUGACUCCCAGAAAUGUCCUUCUCACCAUCAGAGCCUGGAUCACAGCACAGUUAAACUCCGUCCCCUGAGCACAGGGGAGGAUGGUGGAUCAGGCAGGGGUUUCCUGCUCCUCCAGCCCACGUCCUCCACUGCUUUGUGCAAUAUUGAGCCGACACAAAUGGUUAUGCUGCACCAGCACCAUGGGGAGGAUUGCAUUUUCUCAUCCCCUCUACUCCACUCUGGUGAGACCCCACCUGGAGACCUGUGUCCACCUCUGGAGCCUUCAGAACAGGAAAAACAUGGGUCUGUUGGAGAGGGUCCAGAGGAGGCCACAAAAUGAUCAGAGGGCUGGAACACCUCUCCUGUGAGGACAGGCUGAGAGUUGAGGUCAUUCAGCCUGGAGAAAAGUCCAGGGAGACCUUAUUGCAGCCUUUCAGUACUCAAAAGGGACCUAUAAGAAAGAUGGGGACAGACUUUUUAGCAGGACCUGUUGCGAUAGGACAAGGAGUAACAAUUUUCGACUAAAGGAGGGUAAAUUCAGGCUAGACAGAAGAAAGAAAUUUUUUACAGUGAGGGUGGUGAAACACUGGCCCAGGUUGCCCAGAGAGGUGGUAGAUGCCCCAUCCCUGGAGUCAUUCCAGGCCAGGCUGGACGGGGCUCUGAGCAACCUGAUCUAGUUGCAGAUGUCCCUGCUCAUUGCAGGGGAUUGGACUAGAUGACCUUUGAAGGUCCCUUCCAACUCAAACUGUUCUGUGAUUCUGUGAUCCCGAGAACUCAGAGGGAGGAAAAGAGAAAGACGUGGAGGGAGAGAUGUGUCUCCCGCAUAGCAUCUGCUGGAGAAAUUGGUCAACAGACUGAAGAGAGGGCGGAAAGUCCAACCGUCUGUGAGGAAAGCACUCAUGGUACAUGGGCUGUGGAGACCUGAGCUGGUAGGGAAGUAUUCACAUCGUUGGUGCAGUAAAGCAGUCAGGCUACUAGUGGGGUACGAGAUGCUGUCCCACGAGCUAGAGCACAAGUGGAGCACGGGGAUGGAAAGGCCAGAGUCAAGAUGGUUAGAAUUCGGACUGACAAGAUUUCAUAAGGAAAACAGAGAGUGGACCAACACAUUCACCCACAGGUUGGUGAAUGAGAUAGAAAAAAAGCUGUUAAGGGACGUGCACUCACACAAGAAGCAAAAUGAGCCAGAAAUAUUUUAAUAAUAUAGCAAUCUUUCUAAAAAUUACAACUCAACUUUUCUAUUUCAUACCAACUUCUCCAUGGACACAGAGAUGUCCAAACAGUGCAGAAUGUUCUCCCCAGUACCUCUUCAGCAGCAAAGAGAAUUAAUCAUGCAGACAGUCAUGGCCUUUUGUGUAACAGCACUCCAGCUCAGCAUCCACAUCAGUACCAGAAUCUGGGAACAAAUUCACAUCCCCAGUGCUGUGCCAGAUUCCCUUUUACUGUGUUGGGAAACUCACGUCACUACAGUUCCAUACAUAGGAAAUUAGGAGUAUCAGAGAAUAUAUUUAUGGUAUUAACUUCCAACUUUGGAAACAGGAGUGCAUUACUUCCUCUGGUGUUUAUAUGUAUGUGUAAGGACAGAAACCUUCUCCAAACAAGCCCUGAAGCACUGUCAAGAAAAUUAUUUCAGGAUAUCCUUUUUAUGUGGACAGCAAACACCACUUGGUCCAAAAGAUCAUUUGUGUCACAUAGCGUCACAUGUCUGUUUAAGUAACUGAUUUCUGGAAUGAUAACAAAAAAAGAAGAGGAAAAAAAAAUAAAAAGAAGAAAACAACCAACCCUGAAGAAACCUAAACAACUUCCCAUGUAUUUCCUUCCUCAGAAUAUUACUAAUUAUAAGGAUAAAAUCCUGUUAUGGAUAUUCAUCACAAGCAUAAAAACAAACCAUUACAUAGAUUUAGUAAAUUUGCUGGCUGACAGUUUAAUUUUUAAUAAACUGUCAGGACUCUGACAUCUAGGGGACUGCCUUCCUCAGGAAAUAACUCAAAACAGAAUAAAGUAAACUCAUUAUGUUGAGGUCUGCAACGGAGGCACUGCUGAAGAAGCAAGAAUCUACUGGAAUUCCUCUACCCACCAAGCUCCCAAAUGUUAUCUGACAACCUUGUUAGUCUCUAAGUGACCAACCUUGCAUCCUGAUUACAUGCCAUCCAAUUUCUAUUACUCUAGACUGCGAUAUAAUGCAAUUCUUGUGGCAUUCCAACCCUCCGAGAUGCCAACCAUGUCUCCCAAUGCUAGGCCAUCAGCAGGCUUUCAUAACUAGGAUUUUGUUUUGUCUGUGUGGGCAGCAAGGUCAAUAAUGAAAAUAUUUAAUAAGAUCUAUCUUAGAUAUAACCUUCAGAGUAAUCACCUGCUAGACCUCUCAUCACUUUUUUUAAUACCCUUUGCCAAAUCCAAGAGCCUGAUUUUUAUCAAUUCUCACAAGUACCUUACACUUCUUGCUCACUUUAAGAGACAACUUUUCCUGCAGAUCAAUUUUUUCCCCAUUUUUAGGCUGGCUGUUCACACCUAACCUUCUUUUUAAGGUGGUUACUCAUCCUCUGAGGUCUACAUCUCUUUCCUUCUAAGAUUUUUAAUCUCAGGAGCCAGAUGCUUAGGCUGUGCUCUGCAGGCCCUUGUUAACCUUCAAAAAGAACACACACUUCUUCGCAUGAAGAUUUACUUUCCACAGCAGCCAUUGGCAAGAAGCCAAAGAGAAAAAGAUCUAGAAAAACUCCUAAAACAGCUCUAAAAUAAUUUUAAGAAUAUUGUUAAUCUUGGGAAAAACAUGGUUAAAAAAAAAAAAAAAAGGAAAAGAAAAAUAAUAGAAAGAACUCUGUGCAUAAUAAAACCAUCUCACAGGAAGAUUAAUUAAUCCUGCUAUCAAGAGACGUAAUUCUUCAAUGGGCUAUUCAACUUUUAAAAUAAUAAAAAUGAAGAUGUGUACUUGGCUUCUGGUUCAAUUUAAACCUGAAACUAUGCUGUUUGGGGAGAAUUGUUUGAUACACAAAAGGUCCAAUCACACAAACUAAACUGUCAAUGAAUGACGAACUGGCUGCAUAGUGCCAGCCAGUGAUGCUGGUGACUGCAUAAUGCCAGUAUAUAAUGUCCAACUUUCCGUUAGCUCUAGCAGAUUCCACCUGCUCCACCUAUAAGAAUCUGCGGUUAUUUUAGAGUGAUAUUUUCAAACAUCUGAGGAGUUGGAUUAUAAAAAAAUUUCAUCGCACUGAACUAAUACGGAUUCCAAUAGAGACAAAGUCAGAGGCUCUUAAAAGAUCAGGACUCAGUAACUCCUAGAAGGUCCACCUCUGGCAUUGCACAAGUGCUGAAAGGGAAUACUGCCUUGCCGUGAGUCUUACAAUCCUGACUACGGGGUGGGAACACAGAGAGCUGGUUUCUGUUCUUGGUUCCACCACUGACUUGCUAGUUAUCCACGGCCAAAUCUCUUCACUAUUCCACACCUCAAUUUUUCAUUGGGAUAUAGAAAUACUUUCUUAAAUUGAAAAGUGAUGAAAAUUAGUACGCAAGUGUUAUUAGCCUGUCCACUGCAAGAUGUUCCUUUCUGUGUUUAUACUCAUCUCUUCUACAGGCCUCCUGCCUUCACAUCAGACAUGAGCACUAGAAGCAGGUAGCUGUAGAGAUGACUGACCUUUCCCACACGUCCUGUACAGAGUGGCCCUUACCACAGCUGAUAAACAUUAAGAAGAUGCACAAUUACUUUCAAUAUGCUUAUAAAAAGCUUAACUCAAGCAGUUAUGUGCCUUGACCUAAGUGAUUGUCCCAAAUUAAGAAGGAAAAGCAAAGGCUUCCAGUAAGGUACGCUUUCCACCAUCACCUUUCAUCAUAUGUAAUCAUCCUUAUAUCCUCCCACGUGCAAACUACUUGUGUGCCGCUCAUCUCCCCGCACCCCAAUCCCCACCUAGUUAGUGCUGAAAAAUGCUUCUCCACACUCAGAACCUGCUUUUAACCUCCAGCCUGAAGGUGCCAACGAGCUGACUUGCCUCUGGCUGCCUGUCCUGUGCUGCUGGAUCCUUAUAUUCAGUUUCUGUUUGUCCAUAAAGCCCUAAACCCUCCCCCGACUUUAGGUGUUACCUCCCUUGCCAGGACAUUAGGGUUUCAGAAGAUGUCUUGGCUGCUUGCUGAACUAAACACAAUGUGAUCUUGCACUAGUUAUCCCACCUACUCAGCUCUGUUAAAAAAAAUAAACAAAAAGGUAAAUAGGCAGCAUGUUCUUUGCAGCAUUUAUUAUUAUUAUAUUAAUGAGUUAUUAUUCAGAGAUUUCAGGUAGCUGUUUUUAAACAACAGGGUCCCCACAAGUCUAAAGAAAAACUACCUAGACCUACAACAUUCAUCAGGUUUUCCUGGCUUGUGCUUAAACUUGUGAAGACUAGAGCAUCUAUGCAUUGUGCUUUUUGUUAAAAUAGUAUGAAAUAACUACAAAGACCAGGAAAUAAUCAAACAAACAAAUAAAUAAAAUCUAGGUACAGGUUUGCUAAAUGCAAGCAGUCCAAAACAACUCCAUGUAUUUCUUUAAAGCACAGCACAUUCUGCUUGGGCUUAAAGAAAUAAAAAUAAAGUUGUGAACCAGAUAGAAACAAGGAUCUCAGAAAAUAUUUUUGCAAUAACCACCAUAGCCGAAUGCUUUUCCUACCCAAAUAUCAAAGGAAAAUAGCUGUCAAAAGUGUAAAUUUAAUCACUUUUAAAUUGAACGGAAAAUUAUUUCCUAUUUUCCACAGGUUAUGAUUUGGAGUGAUCUUAAACCUCUGGAAAAGAAUUUCCCAAUUUUCAAAAAUUCUGAAGCCCAAUUACAAGUAAUUAUAGCUUUUCAUUUUCAACAUGAUGAAAUAAUUUGAUUCUUUUUACAAGAGGUCUGGUUUAGCUCAAAAUAGACAAGUGCUUCUGCAAUGAGUUAGUACACAAAGACAAUAAAGAUCAUUCUCAAAAGAAAAUCAGGGAUACAUGUUGGCUAUAAAUCAUAAAUGGAGCAUUCAGGCAAAAAUAGUUUGUGUGUUCUACAAAUGCCACUUAUUUCCAUUGCACAUGAGUGAGAUAAAGUAAACAGACCACUGACAGUUUUGGCUUUCAAAUAUAAAAUGGGUAAGAUUUGAAAGAAGCAAAAGAAAAUGUAUGGCAUAAUCACUAUUGUUAGAUCUAGUUUUAAAGUAUAAUUUGGAGAAAUAGAGUGCACAAAUACAAGCUUUUCUAUAGCCUCAUUACAGAAGAAAAGUAAACUAGGACCAUAUAGCAUUAAAACUAAAUAUUAUUUUAAAUAUCUUGUUCCCAGGUCCACUUUCUUCCUCUCCCCUCCAAGAAUUACCAUUUUUUCUUAUUCUCUGGGAGGAGAAACUAUAAUCACUAAAUUAGAGAUUCCGCUUCAGUAAAACUCCUAAAACCUUUCACACAAAAUCUAAAGCUCAACCAGCUCCAAGUCAGUGCAACACAGUUCAUUACCAUAAGGUUCAAUGCACUCUGCAAAAGGCCUGCUGGAAGUCAAAAAAACCUCCUAAAAUAACCAAGACACUUGAACAGGAUUACACCCACACCAACUCGUAGGAUUACACCCACACUAACUCGUAUUUGAAGCUAGAUUUUGCAUACAUGCAAGACCACCUAGUAAAUACUAAGCACUAUAGUAAACCUCUACACGUUUCGUUUUUAAAGACACGGGUUUGUGUAAAACCUCCAGGUUAUAACCAAACACGUUGUAAUGAGACCAAGAAGAAAUGUUAAAAUACACUGCAGCGACGAUCAUUUAAAUGCAUUUAUCAAAGAGCAGCAAACUUCUGCCUUCUAAGCAGAGAAGGAUAGUCUAACCUGGAGGCAGAAAAAUCUUAAACACAACAGUUCUUAAACUCCAGUCCAAGAUUGGGGAAGCAAGAUUGCCAGCUGGGCUCUGAUUUCCAGUGUUUCUACCUUCCCCUGGUUCAUUUGAAGGUUACCUGUGUACAGUUACCCUUCAGAAACAUGGAAUUUUACAUGUGUGUAAGGCACACUAUUGUCACAACGUAACCAGAAACUGAUACCAAAAAUACUAACAGCAAUCAUAUUUUUAAAAAUAAAGUCCUAUAGUAUUUUUGUAGCAUUGAAAGUGUAAACAGUAUUAUUAGGUUUAAUUCUUUUCCAUAAUAAAAUAUAUCUUCUUUCUUGCCUAAUACUACAAAUUGGUUAACAAUGUGUACUGUGUUAUAAAGUGACUAACAGAAAAUCAAAAAACAUUUCUGCAGUGUAUCAGAGCACCUGGUUACUAUUAAGUUUUCACAAAGAAAAUCAGUAGACCGAGCACUGACAUAUUCAACAAACCCAGGUUUCUCUUGUGGUCAAAUCUUCAAAGACUAUUAAAAAAGUGUCAGCCAAAAGGAGGAAAAAAAAACAAAAGCAAACAAACAAAAACACCACACACACAAACAAACAAAAAAGGCAACACCACACACCACUGAAACAUUGUUCAACCUCUACCAAUAAGGAGAAAAAUACUUUUUCUUGAUAGACAACAACAAAAUAAGAAAAUCUGAAUUUACAGACAUAAAUUAAAGGCUUUUAAUGCUCUUGCAGCCUUUGGGGGUGGUGUGGGAACGCAGCAGUUUCACACACAACAGAUACAGCAUCCAACAACGAGGCAGAGCGCCAGCAUCAGAAAGUUGACAUCUACAGCCCUCCUACUACCUCAAGUAAAUAUGUCACUGAAGGUUAGGCGGAACUUAGGAAUAUUAUAGAAUAUUAUAUACUUCUAUGACAUGUUUUAUUAGUAUGUACAACUUCUAAUGUCAUUCCCCAAAACAGCAGACAACAAAGCUCAUUUUAUAUUUGCAUAAGCCAGGUAUGGGGGUGUUUUCCCCAUGUUUCUCACCUGUUUCAGAAGACUAGAGAGGGCACUACAUUACAGGAGCUAUACACCUUUUUCUGUCUUGGAAGGUUAAAGCAGCAGGACAAUGUUUGGCUGAAGGUUGAAGUAGUUCUGAGAUCGUACUAGCAAAUACUGCCUGCAGACAAUGCUGGAGGUUUUUUGUCAUACUCAACAAUGACAUUAAAAAAAUGCUAAGCGAAAAAGAUUUGAUUUUUUUUUUUACUUCCUUAUUUCCUCUACCAGACAGUAUUUAUUUUUAUUAACGUGUGCUUCUUGCCAAGCCAUUGAUGCAA
Columba livia (rock pigeon) is the source of this 9891-nucleotide long non-coding RNA. RefSeq lists it as uncharacterized. The transcript is spliced from 3 exons. The record is from RefSeq and is a predicted model, not a curated record. Lineage: Eukaryota; Metazoa; Chordata; Aves; Columbiformes; Columbidae.